GAUGAACGCUGGCGGCGUGCCUAAUACAUGCAAGUCGAGCGAACAGACGAGGAGCUUGCUCCUCUGACGUUAGCGGCGGACGGGUGAGUAACACGUGGAUAACCUACCUAUAAGACUGGGAUAACUUCGGGAAACCGGAGCUAAUACCGGAUAAUAUAUUGAACCGCAUGGUUCAAUAGUGAAAGACGGUUUUGCUGUCACUUAUAGAUGGAUCCGCGCCGCAUUAGCUAGUUGGUAAGGUAACGGCUUACCAAUGCAACGAUGCGUAGCCGACCUGAGAGGGUGAUCGGCCACACUGGAACUGAGACACGGUCCAGACUCCUACGGGAGGCAGCAGUAGGGAAUCUUCCGCAAUGGGCGAAAGCUUGACGGAGCAACGCCGCGUGAGUGAUGAAGGUCUUCGGAUCGUAAAACUCUGUUAUUAGGGAAGAACAAAUGUGUAAGUAACUAUGCACGUCUUGACGGUACCUAAUCAGAAAGCCACGGCUAACUACGUG
RNAcentral lists this ribosomal RNA (497 nucleotides) under uncultured bacterium. RNAcentral describes it as "partial 16S ribosomal RNA". It matches the Rfam family "Bacterial small subunit ribosomal RNA", at positions 28 to 507 of the family's 1533-position model. The record is from RNAcentral.